AGGAUCAUUAUCGAAUCAAUCAAGGCUGUUGCUGGCGCUCUGAGCGCAUGUGCACGCUUCUUUGUUUUCUCCCACUGUGCACAAUCUGUAGACCCUUUUUUUCUUUUGAGGAUUGCUGUGCGAAAGUCGGCUCUCCUUGUUGUCUACGCUUUCACAAUCUAUUGAAUGUAUUAGAAUGCUUUGAAUAUGGGGAAUAUACAUACAACUUUCAGCAACGGAUCUCUUGGCUCUCGCAUCGAUGAAGAACGCAGCGAAAUGCGAUAAGUAAUGUGAAUUGCAGAAUUCAGUGAAUCAUCGAAUCUUUGAACGCAUCUUGCGCUCCUUGGUAUUCCGAGGAGCAUGCCUGUUUGAGUGUCAUUUGAAACCUCUCAACCAUCCUUUGAGGUGGCUUGGAAAUGGGGGAUUGUUGCAGGCUGAAGUCUGCUCCCCUGAAAUGCAUUAGUGGUGUCUGGGCUAACCAACCACAGGUGUGAUAACUAUCAAUGCCUUGGUGGAAACCUUGCUGCUUCCAACUCUCAUAUGACCAACUUGACCUCAAAUCAGGUAGGGUUACCCGCUGAACUUAA
This 566-nucleotide ribosomal RNA is filed under the name uncultured Cortinariaceae. RNAcentral's name for it is "eukaryotic LSU rRNA". The stretch from base 204 to 357 matches the Rfam family "5.8S ribosomal RNA". Lineage: Eukaryota; Fungi; Basidiomycota; Agaricomycetes; Agaricales; Cortinariaceae. The record is from RNAcentral.